Molecule: long non-coding RNA, 588 nt
Organism: Mesocricetus auratus (golden hamster)
Lineage: Eukaryota; Metazoa; Chordata; Mammalia; Rodentia; Cricetidae
Exons: 2
Source: RefSeq, a predicted model, not a curated record
GUGGCUCUCUCUAGGGGAGUAAGGGUGGGGAUCCUGAGGACGGGGGAGGAGUGCUGCUGAAGUGGGGUGACUAGGAAGGGUGGUUCUGAGGAGGAAAGGGUGGGGCUCCUGAAGGAUGAAGAGGGAAGGACUGCCGCUGGGGUAACCAGAUGGUGUUUACUAGGGGCUGUAGUAGCACUGAGUAGGGCAAUAAUGCUGACCCUCAGGGGCAGGUAGGGUCUCCUGAGAGUGUGUCCUCCAGGCGAUGGCUCCUGAGGAAAUCAAGAGUAGACAGCCUGAGGAGGGCUUAUGACGGGUGUCAUGGGAAUAAAGGAGUGGUAUUAAGGUGGAUGCCUCAGAUAAACAGACAAACUUUUCACUCAAGACUGGAACCCCCAUCUUCCUGAGCUGGAGAGUCUUCCUCCACACAGUAGGCAGGACAGGACCACCUCUCAGGAUGUGACACCAAACAGUUACUGGGACAAUACAGUCUUGCUCACCUAAGCAUCCCAGGUUGGGACUGGAGUCCCAUGAGCUUUUUGCUGACCAAUAUUCGUGCCCCACUGCAGUCAAACUAUGGUUUGGAAAUAAAGUCUUUUUGUUAUUGUU